UAUUAAAUAAUCUGUAUAAAUCCGCCUUUAUAAGUCAAAUAUAAUAUAAGAACGUUAAAACCACGCGAGGUGUCUUUCGCUUAUCAAUCUUUGUGUCAAGUCAAUAUGUCGAAUAAUAUUACACUAUUAUUUGUCAUAAUGGCAGCUCUUCUUCUAAUUAUGGGUCUUGAGACCCACGCUUGUGUGAUACCUGCAGUAACUCGCCUCGAAAAUGAUUUGACUAGAAGCAUAUUGCGAGGGAGAAUUGCUGGGAUUGGAAUUUCGGGAUAGACGUCUAUAGAUAAUAUUCUGUAUGAAAAUAAUCAAGUAUAAAAAAACAUUUUUUUAAUUA
This is a long non-coding RNA of Pieris napi, 331 nucleotides long. RefSeq lists it as uncharacterized. Lineage: Eukaryota; Metazoa; Arthropoda; Insecta; Lepidoptera; Pieridae. The transcript has 3 exons. The record is from RefSeq and is a predicted model, not a curated record.